AUACUAAGGGUUAAUUUGUUCUCCACCGUUUGUCUGCUUUGUCAAAGAGGAAAUAAAUCUAUAAUAUGAGCAAGUGUCUGUCAGCUUGUGUACAGGUUGGAAUUGAACUGAGUAGAUUCCUGAAUUUAACUGUUCACGAGACACAGAUGAAUUCCAUAAUAUCUGAAGAGGAGUUAUUAAAUACUAAGGGUUGAUUUGUUCUCCACCGUUUGUCUGCUUUGUCAAAGAGGAAAUAAAUCUAUAAUAUGAGCGUCUGUCAGCUUGUGUACAGAUUGGAAUUGAACUGAGUAGAUUCCUGAAUUCAACUGUUCACGAGACACAGACGAAUUCCAUAAUAUCUGAAGAGGAGUUAUUAAAUACUAAGGGUUGAUUUGUUCUCCACCGUUUGUCUGCUUUGUCAAAGAGGAAAUAAAUCUAUAAUAUGAGCAAGUGUCUGUCAGCUUGUGUACAGAUUGGAGUUGAACUGAGUACAUUCCUGAAUUCAACUGUUCACGAGACACAGAUGAAAUCCAUAUCUGAAGGUAAAAUAUUAAAUACUAAGGGAUAAUUUGUGCUCCACCAUUUGUCUGCUUUGUCAAAGAAGAAAUAAAUCUAUAAGUGUCUGUCAGCUUGUGUACAGGUUGGAAUUGAACUGAGUAGAUUCCUGAAUUUAACUGUUCACGAGACACAGAUGAAUUCCAUAAUAUCUGAAGAGGAGUUAUUAAAUACUAAGGGUUAAUUUGUUCUCCACCGUUUGUCUGCUUUGUCAAAGAGGAAAUAAAUCUAUAAUAUGAGCAAGUGUCUGUCAGCUUGUGUACAGAUUGGAAUUGAACUGAGUACAUUCCUGAAUUCAACUGUUCACGAGACACAGAUGAAAUCCAUAUCUGAAGGUAAAAUAUUAAAUACUAAGGGAUAAUUUGUGCUCCACCAUUUGUCUGCUUUGUCAAAGAAGAAAUAAAUCUAUAAUAUGAGCAAGUGUCUGUCAGCUUGUGUACAGGUUGGAAUUGAACUGAGUAGAUUCCUGAAUUUAACUGUUCACGAGACACAGAUGAAUUCCAUAAUAUCUGAAGAGGAGUUAUUAAAUACUAAGGGUUAAUUUGUUCUCCACCGUUUGUCUGCUUUGUCAAAGAGGAAAUAAAUCUAUAAUAUGAGCAAGUGUCUGUCAGCUUGUGUACAGGUUGGAAUUGAACCGAGUAGAUUCCUGAAUUUAACUGUUCACGAGACACA
Molecule: long non-coding RNA, 1206 nt
Organism: Photinus pyralis (common eastern firefly)
Lineage: Eukaryota; Metazoa; Arthropoda; Insecta; Coleoptera; Lampyridae
Exons: 2
Source: RefSeq, a predicted model, not a curated record